UAGUCCACGCCGUAAACGAUGGUCACUAGCUGUUCGGAUUUCGGUCUGAGUGGUUAAGCGAAAGUGAUAAGUGACCCACCUGGGGAGUACGUUCGCAAGAAUGAAACUCAAAGGAAUUGACGGGGGCCCGCACAAGCGGUGGAGCAUGUGGUUUAAUUCGAUGAUACGCGAGGAACCUUACCAAGGCUUAAAUGUAGAUUGACAGGUUUAGAGAUAGACUUUUCUUCGGACAAUUUACAAGGUGCUGCAUGGUUGUCGUCAGCUCGUGCCGUGAGGUGUCAGGUUAAGUCCUAUAACGAGCGCAACCCCUGUUGUUAGUUACCAGCGAUUAAAGUCGGGGACUCUAACAAGACUGCCAGUGCAAACUGUGAGGAAGGUGGGGAUGACGUCAAAUCAUCACGGCCCUUACGUCUUGGGCUACACACGUGCUACAAUGGUAGGUACAGCGAGCAGCCACAACGCGAGUUGGAGCGAAUCUUAAAAACCUAUCACAGUUCGGAUCGGAGUCUGCAACUCGA
This 518-nucleotide ribosomal RNA is filed under the name uncultured bacterium. Its description in RNAcentral is "bacterial SSU rRNA". It matches the Rfam family "Bacterial small subunit ribosomal RNA", at positions 791 to 1315 of the family's 1533-position model. The record is from RNAcentral.